UGCCUUACACAUGCAAGUCGAACGGCAGCGCGUCCUUCGGGAUGGCGGCGAGUGGCGAACGGGUGAGUAAAGCAUCGGAACGUGCCCGGUAGUGCGGGAUAGCUCGGCGAAAGCCGGAUUAAUACCGCAUGAGAUCCGUGGAUGAAAGCAGGGGACCCUUCGGGGCCUUGCGCUACUGGAGCGGCCGAUGGCAGAUUAGGUAGUUGGUGGGAUAAAAGCUUACCAAGCCGACGAUCUGUAGCUGGUCUGAGAGGACGACCAGCCACACUGGGACUGAGACACGGCCCAGACUCCUACGGGAGGCAGCAGUGGGGAAUUUUGGACAAUGGGCGAAAGCCUGAUCCAGCCAUGCCGCGUGCAGGAUGAAGGCCUUCGGGUUGUAAACUGC
Molecule: ribosomal RNA, 388 nt
Filed under: uncultured organism
Description: bacterial SSU rRNA
Rfam family: Bacterial small subunit ribosomal RNA
Source: RNAcentral